RNAcentral lists this ribosomal RNA (519 nucleotides) under uncultured bacterium. Its description in RNAcentral is "bacterial SSU rRNA". It matches the Rfam family "Bacterial small subunit ribosomal RNA", at positions 8 to 524 of the family's 1533-position model. The record is from RNAcentral.
AGAGUUUGAUCAUGGCUCAGGACGAACGCUGGCGGCGUGCCUAAUACAUGCAAGUCGAGCGGGGUUGUCGGAGUGGAGUCCUUCGGGAUGAAGCACCGCCAACCUAGCGGCGGACGGGUGAGUAACGCGUGGGUAACCUGCCCUAAAGCCCGGGAUAACACCGGGAAACUGGUGCUAACACCGGAUACCUUCCGAAGAGGGCAUCCUUUUUGGAAGAAAGGUUAACGCUUUAGGAUGGGCCCGCGUCCCAUUAGCUAGUUGGUGAGGUAACGGCUCACCAAGGCAGUGAUGGGUAGCCGGCCUGAGAGGGUGGACGGCCACACUGGGACUGAGACACGGCCCAGACUCCUACGGGAGGCAGCAGUAGGGAAUAUUGCGCAAUGGGCGAAAGCCUGACGCAGCGACGCCGCGUGGGUGAUGAAGGCCUUCGGGUUGUAAAACCCUGUCCUUGGGGAAGAAGGAAGUGACGGUACCCAAGGAGGAAGCCCCGGCUAACUACGUGCCAGCAGCCGCGGUAAU